This 43074-nucleotide long non-coding RNA is filed under the name Gossypium barbadense (sea-island cotton). Its description in RNAcentral is "long non-coding RNA (GBAR_LNC020333)". The record is from RNAcentral. Lineage: Eukaryota; Viridiplantae; Streptophyta; Magnoliopsida; Malvales; Malvaceae.
UUGCGAAACAACAACGGUGUGGAAGGUCGCUGAUUACGACCACUCAGCCGGAAAAUGGUGGGUGAUAACCGAUGGGGUUAAAGGGAACCCAGGUGCCAACACUUUGACCAGUUGGUUUAGAAUAGAGAAGACGACUACUGAUUUUGAUUACACAUUUAAGUACUGCCCCGCAGUAUGUGGAACAUGCCCAGCCUUAUGCAACAAAAUUGUGAGAGACUUUGAUGGAGAAAUGGUACGUUUGGCUCUCACCACUGGCCAUGGAUGGCCAUUUAUCUUUAAGAAAGUUGGAAAAUCAGCCAUGGAGAUUGAACAAGUUGUUCAUAAUUAGAUUGAAAGCAAUCAUUAUGCAUGAACUAGUAGUUACUACAUAAUAUUAGCUUCAAGUAAAUAAUGCUGAGGGAACUUAUUGUUAAGAUUGCCUUGUUUGAAGCGGCAGCAUGUAUAUAUAUAUGCUUGCUUACAAGGUUUGUCUCUCAGAGUCCUCCUCUUUGUACUCUUUUCAGCUUAAUGAAUAAACUGUUUACUUAUUUACUUCUUUUGUUGCCAUUGAUUCUAGUAGCAUUCGACUCAUUAACUUGGAUACAUUACCUUGUAAUUAACCAAAAAGUUAUGUGUAUAUAUAUAAAGAGUGUGUGAGAGAAAAAAUAAAAUACCAAGUACCAAGUGAAAAAUGUUAAUACUAGGAUUAUUCAAAGCGAUUUCAAUGAACAGAAAUGGAAUAGUCGUCGGGUGGUUAGGACAUUUUAUCUUUAGAGAUAAAGAAGGUUGGUUCAUGUUCGGAGUUUGUGGCCACUCCUUCAAUAAUAUCGUUUUUAAAGUUUAAACUUGUAUCACAUUUUAAACACGUAAUGUAUCUUACCAUUACAUCCAACAAUAUUAACCAUUUACUCUAUUGUAUUGUAUUGUAUUCUAUUAUUAAUUAAUGAUUAUGAUAUGUAUUAAGUUUAAGAUGAAUUUUCUCAGUAAUGUAUAUCAAUGAAAUCAAAUAUUUGUAUUUAAAGUUUUAACUCCACAUUAACUUUUUUUUUAUUUUGUCCGUUUGCUGGCGAUGAUUAGGAGAUUAAUGGUUGGUAUUUGUGGUUAGUAGCUUAUAACUCGAGGGUUGAUAGUGGCCCGACUCCACUUAAAUAAAAAAUUUUACAUUUAAAUUUCUUUAUAAUUUAUAAAAUUUUAAAUUAAUAAUAAAAAAUUAUAUUUUAACUCUCUAAAAUUAAUAAAAAUGAUAAAAAUGUAGAAGUAAAUUUAUACAAUUAAUGAUAAUAAUGAUAAGAAGUUGUUUCCUAUCACAUGGAAAUUUAUGGCAUCGUCCAUUUGGUUUUAUAUUUGUCCAUUUGCUUGGUUAAGAGUUGAAAGACAAACUAUAAUUAAAUAUACAAAACCAAACGAAUUUCAAGGGUUUUCUCUUCAAUUAUUGUCGAAUUUAGCUAAUUAUUAGUAAUUUUUAUUAUUUAAUUAUAAAAAUUAUAAAAUAGUGACUUAAUUAUAAAUAUAUAUAUAUAUAUAAAAUAGCCAUCUAAUUAUUUAAUUUUUUUCUUUUUUAUCAUCACAGGAUUAAUGGUGGUAAUUUUUAUAAUUGACAUAAUAGUAACUUUAACCAUUAAUAAUUAUACAUUAUGUCAAUUUAGUCUUGAUUCUAAAAAAUUUAACCUUUGACAUUUACACAUAUAUAAUUUGAUAUUUUUAUAAUUUUAUUUUUUACUAAAAAUAAAUCAUGAAAAUAAUAAAAUAUGCAUAAAAAUAAAAAUACAGCUACCGAGUAUAUGUCUUAUUGUAGAUUUAUAACAAUUAUCUUUUCAUAAAGAUAUUUUAUUAUAAAAUAUAUAAUAAGCACUUCCCUGUAACAAAUAAAAUUGUAGUAAACAAAUGAAAUUAUUAUAAAGAAGAAUUUUCUAUUUUCAUAAUAAUAAUAAUAAUAAUAAAAGAAAAGAAAAAAGUGGUUCUAUUAAUUCACCUCACAUUUGAAAUAUGUUAUAUGUAAUAAUAUUAAUGUCUUUAUCAAUUUUGGUGGUUCAUCCUUUCCCAUCUCUAUAAAUUUGCAUGCAGAACUAAAGCAACACAUAUCAACACAAUCUGUAUAACCAUGAAAACCACAACAGCUUCGGUGUUUCUUCUUUUCAUCAUCUUCUCAAUCACACCAUUGUCCUUUUCGUUUGGUGUGGCCAACACUACAAACGCUCCUGUGCUCGACAGUGAUGGCAACGAGCUCCGCACAGGCACCCCAUACUUCGUUGUGUCGUCGAUAUGGGGUGCUGGUGGUGGGGGGCUUGCCCUAGGCAUGCCUAGAGGAAAGCCAUGCCCGGAAGUCGUUGCUCAAAGAGGAUCCGGUGACGAUGGUAUUCCGGUGAUAUUUUCUAAUUCGGACUCCAACGAUGGCGUUGUUCGCCUAUCCUCUGACAUAAACAUAGAGUUCAUUCCCCUCAGACCCAGAUUUUGCCAAACAACAACGGUGUGGAAGGUCGAUGAUUACGACCACUCAGCCGGAAAAUGGUGGGUGAUAACCGAUGGGGUUAAAGGGAACCCAGGUGCCAACACUUUGACCAGUUGGUUUAGAAUAGAGAAGGCGGGUGAUCUUGAUUACCCAUUUAAGUACUGCCCCGCUGUAUGUGGAACAUGCCCAGCCUUAUGCAACAAAAUUACGAGAGACUCAGAUGGAGAAAUGAUACGUUUGGCUCUCUCCGCUGGCCAUGGAUGGCCAUUUUUCUUUAAGAAAUUUCAAACAUCAGCCAUGGAGAUUGAACAAGUUGUUCAUAAUUAGAUUGAAAGCAAUCAUUAUGCAUGAACUAGUAGUUACUAUACAAUAUUAGCUUCAAGUAAAUAAUGCUGGGAGAACUGAUUGUUAAGAUUGCCUUGUUUGAAGCAGCAGCAUGUAUAUAUAUAUGCUUGCUUACAAGGUUUGUCUCUCAGAGUCCUUCUCUUUGUACUCUUUUCAGCUUAAUAUAUAAACUGUCUACUUAUUUACUUCUUUUAUUGCCAUUGAUUCUAGUAGUAUUAGACUCAUUAACUUGGAUACAUUGUCUUGUAAGAGAUAGCUUAUCUCUUAACAACUGUUUGGGUCAACAAAAUUAAUGUAUAUAUGAAAACGAAUAUUGAAUUUGGAUGUCCAAUCAAUUUUUUUAAUUAAUUAAUUAAAAAGAAUUGUUUUAAUUCAAAAAAUCUAAAAGAAUUUGAUAAAAAAUGUGGAAGGGCACACUUGUAUGAUGAAUAGUAGUGAUAAUAAUGAUAGAAGUCGUUUUCCUAGCACAAGUAUGGGAUUCGUCCAUUUGGUUUUAUAUUUAUCCACUUGCCUGAGUGUUUAAGAGUUAAAAAGGACAAAACUAUUAAGUAGAAAACACCAAACGAAUUGGAAGGCUUUUGUCUUCUUCAAUUAGUAUGACCUAUAUUUCUUAUUAAACUUCGUAUUUUACAUUCAAUAUCAUCAUCGCAAUCAUUUUAAUUUAUUUUCAUGAAUAAACUUUUAUGUCCCAUUUUAAUUGAAUCAUUAAAAAUUAUUAAUUGAAUUUUUUUUAAGUCAAGUGAUACUAAUUUGAUUUUUUUAAAAAAGUUGUUUGAAUUAAUUUGAUUUCGUGUCAUAAUUGACAUAAAUGGCCAUUGUGAAUGGCAACAUCAAUAGUUAUUGAGUACAGCGGCUAAAAUUUUCAGUUAAAAAAAAAAGAAUGAAAGGAAAACAAAAAGAAAAACGUGGAAAGAAAGAAAGAAAGAAAGAAUAAUAAUAAUAAUAAUAAUAAUAAAUAAAAUAGAAUUGUGGGGGCGAUGCUUUUGAACAAAUCUUGAUUUAAACUAUAUAAAGAAAAUAUGUGUUAUAUAUAUAAUUAAUUAUGUACUUAUACUUAAUAUAUUAUAUAUCUAAUGUCAUAUUUUCAUAUUCUCAGGAAGUGGUGACAUACAAAUACUUGAUUCGAUUUAUUUCUUUAGCUCCCCGUGAAUUGUAUGUUUGUAACAUUAGGGAUAGAAUUUCUUCAAUUAUCCAAUUGACUGGACGUAUUGUGUCGAUUUUUUUUUAGUAAUAUACCUAGAAAUACCCGUUGAUUCUUUAUAAACGCUGUUUCGAACACAACUGGUACACUCUAAAAUAAUUUACUUGAACAUCAUUACUCUUAGCCAUGAACCUCCUUUGAGUUUUUAAUUCACCCAACUUUUUUAUUUUCCGAUCAAAAGCAAAGAAGAAAGGAAUGAAAAGAAAAGAAAGAAAUCAAAGUUGCUAACUCAAAACCAAAUCCUGAAAAUUUUCAUUUCAAUGAAUAUAGUAAGUAAAUAUAGAUUUAUAGUAAUAGCAAAUAAUAAGAAUUAAGUAAUAUAACGAUUUUUAAUUCUAUUUAGAAUCAAUUAAAAUAUUCAAAUAAAUAUUCAAUUAAAAUAAAUUAAACUGUAUAAAUUUUAUAAUUUUAAAUUAUUAUUUUUGUAUUAAUUUAAAAACAAAAUAAAUAUUAUAUACAAUGAUUUAGUUACAGCGUGUCAGCUUGAAGUCUAAGACUUUAUAACAUAUAAAUUUAAUAGAUAAUUAAUAACUAAAAAAUUAAAUAGCAAAAGCAUAAUUGCGCCACUUCUCACCAUUUUAAUGUAUGCAACUUAUUAUAUAUUUAUAUAUAUUAUCAUUUUAUUUUAAAUAAUUUAAUUUUAUAAAUUUAGGGAUAAAUCUCAAAAUUAUACAUGAACUUUAAUUUAAUAUGCAAUUGUAUAUAUAAACUUUAAUUUGGUACAAUUAUACACGUGAUACUUUAAUUGUGGUUUAAAUACUCACUUGAAACUUUAGUUUUGAUUUAAUAAUGCAUAUUUAAAUAAAUAAAUACAUCAAUUUUUUUAUAUUGGGUAAAUAUAAUUAUUUAUGUAUGCAAUAUAUAACAUAAAAUGAUGUUAUAUCAAUAAUUGUGUUAAUAAUUUUCAAGAAUUGGAUCAAAUCAAAAUUUCAUGUAUAAAAUUGAACAAAAUCAAAGUUAAUGUAUACAAUUGCACAUUAAACCAUAAUUCAUGUAUAUUUUUUUGUAUAUAUCCCAUAAAUUUAUUUCAUUAACUUUUUACCUAUAUCAUAUAUAGAGUUGUUCGUGAACCGAGCCAAGGAAUGCCUGCUCGAAAAAAUGAGAGGGUUUGGCAAAAAAAUAUAUGCCUAAAAAAUGGGCUUGGAUAAAAAGACAAGGCCCGUUUAGAAAAUGAACCGGCAUUGAGUAGGGUUUUUUUGUCCGGGCUCAGCCUAACCCGAAUUUUCAAUUAAAAAAAACCUUGUUGUUUUUGCUGCUAUUUUUCCAUAUCUUGGUGUUGUUUUCUCACUUUUUGCCGCUAUUUUACUACCAUUUCACUAUUAUGUUACUACUAUUUUUUUUAAUGUUUGGAUAUAGUAUAAUAAUUGUUUUAUUGUUAAUUUUAUCACUAUUUUAGAGACAUUUGUUUGUUAUGUUGUACUUAUUUUAGUUUUUAUUUAAGUAUAAAAAAAUUUAAAAUUUAUUUUCAAUUUAUUGAUAAACAUGUAAUUUAAUAUUUUCAGUGUAUUUAUUGUAUUAUAUUUGUUAAAUUUAUAUAAAAUUAAAAUUAAAAAAAUAUGGACCGAGAUGGGAGUUUAACAAAAAUUUAGGCCCAUUUUUCAAGUCGGGCCGAUCUCAAACCUAACAAUCGGACUUAAAAUUUUGUUAGAGCUCGGCCCAUCCCAUGAACAACUCUAAUUAUAUAUAUAUGUCAUUCUCUAAUAAUAAUAAUAAUAAUAAUAAUAAUAAGUGGAUAACAUAAAACUAGUAGUAAAGAGUAAGAAGACAAAGAAGAAUUAAGUGGAUAACAUAAAACGUGCGAAAACAUUUAUCUUCAAUUCUGACACAUAAAGCUAGUAUUUUUGGGUAAAGUAUAGAAAUGGUGAUUAAAUUAUUGUUGAUGUUCUAUUUUAAUUUUUAAUUUUUCUAUUUUAGUUAUUAAAUUAUUUGAAAUUAAAUUUUUUGGUUAUCAAAGGUUAACAGUAGUUUGAAAUUUAACAGAAAUAUUGAUGUGAACUUUUCUUAUUGAUUUAAUAAUAAAUUUAGCCUUCUAAUAUUUAUAUAUUCUAUUAAUUUGAUACUAAAUAUAAAAAUUUAACAAAUUUAACCUUCAAUAUUUACAAAUUUUGUUAUUUUAAUUCAAAUUCUAAAAAAAAUUUAAUAAAUUUAACCCUCAACAUUAAAAAAUUUGAUAAAUUUCAAUUUUUAAAAUUUUGUAAAUUCCUAAAAUAUAAAGCAUCAUUCUCCACCUCAUAGGAUUCCAUGUAAAUGGAUUUUCUUGAAUUCUUUACCAAGUUGUCUUGAGUUUAAUUUCUUCUUAUUUAGUUUGUGGAAUAAAUGGCAUAUAGUUAGAUGUCACUGCAGCUGACAAUGAAAGGUUUGACAAAGUUGAUAAAUUCAGAGCUUUUGAUGCUGAGCUUCAAAUCAGUCUUGCCUCCACUCACCCAAGAAAUCAACUUUACAAUUUUUAUUAAGUCUUAACUAGAUUAAUAUGAGUAUUGUUAUCAAUAUAGGAGAAAGUGAAUUUUAGUGCGUUGAAACACAUUAUCUUCUUAUUGAUGAAUUGAGGAGGGGCUAUGAAUAGUUUUAAAUAUUAUAUUAAAAAAGCAGAGAUAAUUGAAACCUACAAUAAUAUUGUUCAAAAAAAUUACCUAAAAACACGAAAUCUUACUCCCUGAAUUUUCUAGAAACACAAAUAUUUCUCCCUGCCUUUGAUGGUGUAUACAUGCAUGGCCAUGUGUGAGCUCCUGCAUUUUAACUAAUCAACACAGAUAAUACCCUCAAUGAGACAUUAAAAUUAACUUUUAUUUUUGUUUUUUCAUAAAUUUUAUAAUUUUGUAUUUCAAUGAAAAAAUCUAAAUCUAAGUUGAUCCGAGUCCAAAAAAAAAUCUGAAGCUGUAAAAAGUUUGAUCUGAGGCUGCUCAUUUGCCACCUCUAAUAACCAUUUGAUAGAGGUUUAAUAUAAAGGAAUUUAGAUUUUAGGAAUUUAUAAAAUUUUUAAAAUUAAUUUUUUAUUUGUAAAUACUAAGGGAUAAAUCUAUUGAAGUUUUUAAAAUUUGAACUGAAAUGUCAAAAUUUGUAAACAUUGAAGGCUAAAUUUGUUUAUUUUUUCUAUUUAAGACCAAUCUGAUAGAAUGUGUACACAUUAGAAGACUAAAUUUAUUAUUAGACCAAUAAAAAAAUGCCCAACUUAACGCUUUCUCAAAUUUCAAACCGAUGUUAAUAUUCAAUGACCAAAAUUUUUUAUUUCAAAUAGUUUAGUGACCAGAAUAGAAAAAAAAUUAAAAGUUUGAUGACCAAAAUAGAACGCGGAUAAUAAUUUAAUGAUAUUUUUAUACUUUAUCUGUUUUUUAUGAUUAUUUAUACAUAUCAAGUGGAGCUAAUUUAGGGAAAAGAAUCAAUGGUUAAGGUUGUUGUUGAUACUUAAUGAUCAGGGUCCAAAUUUUGCUAAUGUAAUUUUCCUUAUCAUAAUUUGUAUCUUAAUUUUGUUACCAAAAAAAUAUUAGUAAUAAAUAAUAUAUGCUCGAGAAAUGUACGUAUGAUUGAUUUAAACAAUACAUGUUGGAGUAAUUUACAUAUGGAUUUAAAAUAAAUUUUAAAAAUAAAAUAAAAUUUUAAAAAUCCAAAAGUAUUUUUUCUUUUAAAAAAAUUUAAAAAUAAUUUUUAAAUUAUUUACAUGAUUGAUUUAAAGGAUUUCUUUCUAUUAAUUAUUUUUAUAUUAAAUUUAUUUUCCUUUAUGUAUAACAUUUAAAGGGUUUGUAUAUAUGCUAACUCGCGAGUCAAUUAAAAUUUGUAUUAUAUUCAUUGAAUUUUUUUAAAAUAUAUAUUUUAUUAAUUUAUUUAUUUAUUUGAGACCCAUGAUAAACUUGUAUUUAAAGUUAUUGGUGCACACUAUAAAUUCAUAUAUUGAAAAUGAUAGGUGCUAAAAGUAACAUGUUUUAGUCUCAUUCUUAAUGUGUUUUUGGAUGAUUAUUCGAUAUAAAAUGGUUAAUUUUAUGCUACUAAACUUUUCAAUUUACGUUCUACACUUAAUAGAGCAUUUAGGAGCAAAAGAAGCGAAAAACGAGCGAAAAUAAAAAAAAUAGGAGCAAGUCUCAAAAGCCACACAGGCUGAGCCAUUCCACACGGGUUGGACACAUAACCGAGUGAGCCACACGACCAUGUGCUAGACUGUGUGGAAAUCGCAAAUUACACUCCAAACGGCGUGAAAACACGUUAAUUUUAAGGUUUUUUAAGCAUUUUAAUACCUAUACAUGACAAAGAUAAGAAGAGGGGAGAGAGUCGUCAGAAAAUAUUAAAGAAAACAACUUAAAAAACACCAUUGAAGCUAACUUUGAAGCAAAUUUUCAUCAAGAUUGAAGAUCUCAUUUUGAUUUUUUUGAAGUUUAUUAUGAGUUUCUUUAUUUAUUGUAGUUAUACUGUCUUUAGGAUGUUUUUAUUUGCUAUCAUGAACGAAUUUUCUAAAUACCUAGGGAGAUGAAUCCUAUCAUGAAUUAUGUUAUUUGAUUUCUAUUUUUACGUAAUAAAGACUUAGAUCUUAUUCUCAAUUAUGUGUGCUUAAUUCUUGGUUUAAUAUUUCUAGACUAUUAAUCAAUGUUUGAUGUGCUUAAAUCAGAGGAGGAAUAAACCCUAUUUAAGAGUAGAUCUAGCGUAAAUGAGUGGAGUUGCAUGCAAUCCUAGAAAUAGGACAACAUAAAUCUACCGUAAUAGAUCCAAAUCUAAUAGGGGAAUCUAUAGAUCGAGUUAAUACGAUGAUAGAGGUUUUAAUUAGAAAUAAAUUUCAGUUAAUUAACCUAGAGUCAGUUACUCUUAGUCUUGAAGAGAUAUAUUAGCAUAAUUUAGGGAUUUUUACAGAUCAAUAUUCUAAGUGACGAAGUUGUGUAAUAUAGAUUGAUAAUGACAUAUGAAGUCUAGGUAGAUUCUUUCCUAGGUAUUGUCUCGCUCUUGGUUAUUAUUUGAUUAUUUUCUUGAUUUGUGCUUUGUUGUGUUAUUUAGUUAACUAAUUUAGUUAAUUUUAGUUCCAACCAAUCACUCCAAUUUAUCAGUUAAAUAAUAGAAAAGACGGUAAUUACUGGUACUUUUAGUCUUUGUGAAAACGAUAUCUUUGCUCACUAUAACUAUACUAUUAAUUGAUGUGCACUUGUCUGAGUUAGAUUUUUAGUUGGUUUACGACUGCAAUCAAAAAACUCAUUAAGUUAGCACAAACUAAGUUAAUUAUUCGUUGGUUGCUUUAUUUUUUUUCCUGAAGUUUCGAUUUCAUCUUUCAUUAUGUACAACAAUUUUGGUAUAAAAAUAUCAAAUUCUCGACACUUAAUAUAUACCUUUGAAAUAUAAACACAUGCAUCAAUUUUUUUAGGUUCCUCACAACUUACUUGUCCAAAAUUCUUGUAUCUUUCAGUUCUCCUGAUUGAAUCAAAAUUUGACUUUGUAAUUAUUUUUUAAGGACCUCAAACUAUCAAUUUAUAGUAUAAAUUUUCAAUAGCUUUCAUUCUUUACAAAUUGGUCCCUAAUUAAUCAACAAUGGUAUUAAAGCUUAAGCUUAGGGUCCCGUUGUUUCACUGAAAAUGGCUUUCGAAAAAUAAUUUCUAGAAAAUGACUUACUUUCCUAGAAAAGUUAAUAUUUUCUGAUGUUUGGAUGAAUCAGUGUAAAAUAUUUUAUAUUGUUUGACAAAUUUCUUAAAAAUAUUUCAUAAAAGCUGUUUUCAAUGAAACAAACAUGCAUUUGAGAUUUUCUUAUCUUUUCAUUGUUUAAUUAAGUUUAUCUUAUAUCUAUAAAUUUAUAUUUUACAUUUUUUUGCAUAUAAUAAAAAUAUAUAUUUUUUAAUUCAGGUUCACUACCAUGUCACUUUUUAGUUACAUGACUACCAAGUGAGUAUUUUUUUUAUUUAAAAAUGUGACAUCAACAAAAUUGACAAAAAAAAAAUUUAGCAAUGUCAACAAUUGGACUUGAUUUUCAAAUCUGAAAAGUAGAGGGACUAAAUUCUUGAAAAUAAAAGUAUAGAGACUAAAUUGAAAAUUUGUGAAGAAUACAUAGACUUAUCACAUUUUUUAACUUUUAUACUACAAAAUAUUUAUCAUUAAUAUAUUUAUAAUUAUAAUAAAUAUUUAUUAUUAAAAUAUUAAUAUUAAAUAUUUUCAAUAAGAAGAAUAUUAUUUAAAAUUAUUUUUUUUAAUUUUUUAUUAAAAUAAAAUUGAAAUAUUAAAUAAUUUAUUAAAAUAAUUAAUUUUAUUAAUAAUUAAUUUUAUGACUAAAUAUAAAUAAUUAAAUAUGUGUGUUUAAUAAUAUUGAAAUAUAUAAUAUUUUAUAUUAAUAUUUUAAAUAUUUUUAAAAAUAAAAAUAAAAUUUAUUUUCAAUAUAAUAAUAUUAAUAUUGAUUUAAAUGAAUUUUUAUAUAAAAAUAAAAUUACCUAUAGAUGAGCUCUUUUCCAGAAAAUGACUUACACUUUUCAAAAGGAUAAGUCAUUUUAUAGGAAAAAGAGUUCAAUUUUACAUUGACCUGUAAGUCAUUUUCCGAUGACCAAAAUGUUUUCUGUAAAAUAAACAUAAGAAAAUGAAGAAAAUAUUUUCCGUAAAACCUUUUACAUGUAAACAAACGGACCCUUAAUUCAAGCUUGUUCUAACAUAACCCACUUCACUAUUAGCAUGACUCUUCCUUAUACUAUGUUUAACCAUUAACCCUUCUCAUGAUUUCUAACAAAAAUUCUCUAAGUUCUCUUUAAUGGAAACUUCUAUUAGCUUCAACAAUAAGAAAUUCUAACCAUUGGGUUGGUUGUAUCAAGUUUCAUAGUUUAAAAAACUAUAAAAAAAUUAUUUAGAAAACAAUUUGUUUACCUUUGAUGGCCUUGAUGGAGAACAACUUGGUUUCUUCUUCUACUUAGUUUAAAGAAUGCAUGAAGAAGAAGAAGAUUUCCCCUCUCCCUCUAUCUUAAAUAUAUAUAUAAAUAACCUAUUAAUCAAGGUAAUUAACUCACUAAUUAAUCUUAAUUAGUUAUGAUCUAAUGGCCAUAAACUUACCAUAAGAAAAUUAGUGGAAAUGUGUGGCAUUGAUAAUGGUUUGCCAAUAAUCAAACUUCGGGCAUGGUAAUAUUGCAAUCAGGUCCUUGGUUUAAUUACACUUUAAGUACUUGCUAAAUUCUCUAAUCAAUUCCCACUAGUUGGAUCACUUGAACAAUUGGGUCCAUGUAUUAUAGUUACAACUUAUCUAAUUUAAUCAAUUAAUGAUUUGACUUUAUAAUUUCAUGUGCAACACACAAACUCCUCCGGUAAAUUCUCAAGCUAGCUUUAUUUAAAAAUUUGGCCUCAAAACCAGCUUUCCAAAUGUUCAUGAAAAUUGAGUUGUUACAUUAUGGUAUUUGUUUUGUUCAGCUUAUUUGUCAAGCUCUAUUCCUUUGAACUUAUGUUCGUUGACUUUGGUGUUGCUUAAAUGAAAAUGUGGUGAACAAUAUUAUGGAUAGGAGGAGUGUAUGAUUGAGUAUGUGUAACACCCCUAACCCACAUCCUUCGCCAAAUUAAAGUGACAGAGUGUUAUUAUUCAAAACAGAACAUUCCAUGACAACACAUAAACAAUUAUGCAAAUUAUCACAAUCAUUAAUUAACCAUAUUAAAAUAUAACAUAAGUAUCCAUACGACCUUUAAAUCGAGCUUAUAUGGCCUUAAAAAUAGCUUGGGAUCAAUCUAGGAUCAAUUUGGAACAUAACAUAAAUUUUAAGAAAAAUCUAAAAAUUUUGGGAAACAUGGGUCACACAACCGUAUGUCCAGGCCGUGUGACAUAGCCCAGACCUUGUGGGAAUUCAAAAUCAGGACACUCAAUCAUGUCCUAGCCCGUAUGUCUACCUGUGUGAAUAUUUGAAAUAGGGUCCCACAGUCGUGUCGCGGCCAUGUGCUAAACCGUGUAUAUAUUCAAAUUAUGAACACAUGGCCGUGUCGCAAGCCAUGUGCUAGACCGUGCUCAAAACUAUUUUGAGACACACAGCUGUGCCUUAGGCUGUGUGAAAUUUUCACUUUAGACAACGACACACAGCCGUGUGCCAGACCAUGUACACCAAAAUGUACCUUAAAAAUCAAAUUUACCAAAACAUGUUUACUUAGGCAUCAAGCAACCUAAUUACCAUCAAUCAAACUCAUUCAAAACACAAUUAAACAGGUUCAAAACAUCCAUCCUAAGUGCCUAGCCAUUGUGCCCUCAUUGACAUCAUAAUUCAAUAAUCAAAUCAAUCACAUUUAAACCAAGAUUUAAACAUUCAAAUUAUAAAAUCAUCAUUAACCAUUCAUACCAAAACACUGAUCAUUUCAAGUCAUAAACACCUAGCAAUAUUCACAUACUUUAUAAAGCUUAACUACCAAUACCAAAUAAGAUCCAUACACACAUACAUACCAAACAAAACACAUAUUCACAAGUAUCAUUCAAGAUUUACAACUUUACAUGUAAUUAACAUAAUUUCAAGUCAAUUAUUACAUGUCAUACAACCCAAAACAAACACUAAACAAACUACCAAUAGUUUCUCGAAUAGUGUGAUUCUUGAAAUCAAAUUGAUCACCCGAAGCGUCAAAAAUAAAUCUACAAGAAAGCAUUGGAAGAGACACAAGAGUAAGCUUACUUAAGCUUAGUAAUUUCCAUGGAUUUAAACAAUCAACUUACCGGAUAAACUUAUCUAAUAUAGAGUAUAGAAAAGUCAUAAAUCAUAAUCAUGUCAUCCAUAAUCAGAUCACGAGUGAGUCUUAAACUUAAAUAUGAAUGAAUUAAUUCAAUCAAUUACAUUAUAUCACUAAAUUAUACCCGAUGAACGUUGCAAUGGAUUUGGAUACACAGUUAACCAACCAAACACUCCAAAUCACUCAAAUGAGCUAGCCAUCUGAAAGUACACAUGGGCACCAAGUGCCAAGCCCAUAGGCUAACAUCCCUCCGAAACACACCUUGUCACCAAGUGCCAAGCCCGUAAGCUUUACAUCUGCCCCAGAAACACACCUGAAGCACUGCAAUAUAACGUAAUAGUUCGCAACAAAUGUUGAACUUCAAUAUAUUCAAUAAACAUGAAUAAGAUCAGAAUCAUCAUCUCCACAUCCACCAAUCUCGUAAAGCGCACGAUAUAACUUAUUGACAUGCCAAUUGUAUCCUAUCAUACAUUCAUCGGCUCACAUAUUUGUCAUUUAACAACAUUUAAUACAAUUUCUUUCCCAAAUCAUUUCACUUACCACAAUUCAAUACUUCCAUGUCAUUUAAUAAUUUCAAUCCACAAGUAAUUAAAUAUUUAAAUUAUACUAAAAUUAAACUGUACAAACUCACUAGGGCCAAAUUGCAGAAACAACAAAAGUUCAGGGACUAAUCAACAACCUUCCCUUUUUCCACAAUUAUCAACUUGAUCUUGAUCUAUAAUAUAAUUUAUUUCAAUUAUUAGCCUCAAUUUUCAUAUUCUAAUCAUUUCAAAACAUAUGAUCUCUUAUUUAUAAAUUUACACAUUUAUCCCAAAUUUUUACAUAUUAUACAAUUUAAUCCCUAUGACCAAAUCAAGCUUAGUUCUACAAUUAAAUUCUCAAUCCAUAGAACUAAAUUUUAACCACAUCCAAAACAAUCCAUAUAUGCUAAAAUUUUCAAGAGUAACAUGUCUAUUUCAGUUAAAUCACUAAACAUCAAAUUUUGUAAAAAUCACUUACAAACUCAAUACAUAUGGUCACCAAGCUUCAACCCAAACUAUUUACUACUACAAAUCUUCGAAAAUUUCAAUACAUAAUUUCUAUACUUUGAUAACUUCACAAAUAAACUCCAAAACUAGCUAAAUUCCAUUAUCAAUAGCUCAAAACUUAAAAUUUGAUGAUGAAUAAACCAAGAAAAUACUUACAUGCAUUAAAAACUAACAAAAACCAAGAUCCAAGCCUUAGAACAAUGGUGUUUCGGCCAAACCUAAGAAAAAUAAAGAAGAUGACCACUACCCCACUUUUGUUUUACUUUCCUUUUAUUAUUAUAAUAAUCUUUAUUUAUGAAAUUAUAACAUUAUAAAACACCAAUUUAAUUUUUUUUCUCUCUUUACCGCCCAUAUUAACUAACUAUGGGCUAAUGGCAACAUAACCUCCCUUAGUUUACUAAUUUAAGCUAUUAUAUUAAAAUAAAUCUAUAAUAAGCAACUUUUCCACCUAUUACAUAUUAAUCUUUUUUCUUUAAUCAAUUCACUAUACGUUAAAUUUUCUAAACCAAAACUUAAUACGACACUGAUGACUUUGUAAAUAUUAAAUAAUUAAUAAUUCUAGACUGACACGUCGAAAGUGUAGUCCUAAAACUAUUAUUUUCGACACCACUGGAAAUCGAACUGUUAUAGUAUGAUUCUACCUCUUAGGGGGAGACGUAUUCUAGUUUCCUUUGACUUGUUUAGAUGAUGUGUUAAUCAUUUGCUACUGGUUUUGUCAAAAUGCCAAAUGGUGAGAUUGUUUCAAACUUUGUUCAUGUUCGAACAUUAGAUUAAACAAUGCUUAAUUUGAUGCAUUCAAAGAAUUUAUGUUGGCAUGUUUGACUUUAUAAUGAAAUGGCUUAUGAUUUAAUCUCGUUGAGUAGCAAAUGGGGAAGUGAUUUUGUGUUAUAACAUGUGAUGAUCAUUAUCUUUCAAUCAACUACCUUGAAGAAGAAUGGGAGGAGUUUGAACUUUUGUGGACUUUCGUAAUAUUUGAAGCUGCUAAGAUACUUGUUUAUAAAGACUUUUAUGAUAUAACUAAUCAAAAUAAUUCAUGUCAGAAUUUUUGGAGUUUUAAACUUAUGAAGACUCUAGUAUUGGCCUAUAAAUAGGCAUAAUUACCGCACAUUGAAAAUAGGCUUUUGGAGGGUUUAAGUUGGAUGCUUUGGUGAAUUUUUCCUGUGUUUUAUACAACACUCUUUUUUAAGUUUUUAUUGGGGGAUAUUUGCUUGAUUGUAAGUGAGAUAUUUUGGAGAGAGUGAUUUGUAAUAAUUUAGGUUCAAUAUUGAAGUUGCAAAUAACUACAAGGUAAUGGUAAUUUGGACUCUAGUCAAUAGUUAAUCAAGACGAAUUGUAAAUAAAAAUUAUUUUUUAAGUGAAACUUUACAGAAUAAAACUAGUGAACUCAAACUACGCUAACAAAUAUUAUAUACUAUCUUUCCUUACUUUACUCGUUGCUUUACCUUAUUUUAAAAUUGCUUUGUCAUAAAUGUAUUAUGUUUGACCCUUUCCGAUCGAAAUAAAAAAAUGAGAUUGAAAUUGUGAUAAAGCUAAAAAAAAGUUACAACAAAUAUGAUUAAUAUUAUUUUUAUAUAUACUUACUAAAAUUUAAAAAGGAAUUACAUUUAUCGAAUAUUAUUUUAUUUAAUAAAUAUAAUUAAUAUAUUUUAUAUAAAAUUUAAACUUUUUAUUAUUUGUUAGCUAAAUUUUAUUAUUUUUAUUUUCUUUAUGAAUAAAAUUAAUUUUCCUAAAAUUUGAGAUAAAAAAAUGUUAUAUAGAAAAUUAAAUUAGUAAAAAGUGCAGUUCAUACUUUAUAAUUAUUAUAAAUGAAAAAAUAUUAUAAAAGAUAAAUAUUAAACAUAAAAAAAUCAAUUCUAAAAUAAACUUAACUAUUAUAAUAAAAUAUUUUUAUAUAAAAAAGAAAUUAUAGAAAAGACUUACUGAUUAUAUUUCCAAUUUUCGACAUUCAUAAAAAAAAAGUGGUCCUAAUAAUUUAUUUAUACAAAAAAAAAAGUGGUCCUAUUAAUUAACCUCACAUUUGAAAUGUGUUAUAUGUAAUAAUAUUAAUAUCUUUAUCAAUUUUGGAGGUUCAUCCUUUCCCAUCUCUAUAAAUUCGCAUGGAGAAAUAAAGCAAUACAUCAACACAAUCUGUAUAACCAUGAAAACCACAACAGCUUCAGUGUUUCUUCUUUUCAUCAUCUUCUCAGUCACACCAUCAUCCUUUUUGUUUGGUGUAGCCAACGCUACAAACGAACCUGUACUCGACUUUGAUGGCAACGAGGUUCAAACAGGCACCCCAUAUUACGUUGUGUCGUACAUAUGGGGUGCUGGUGGUGGGGGGCUUGACCUAGGCAGGCCUAGUGGAAACCCAUGCCCGGAAGUCGUUGCUCAAAGAGGAUCCGGUGACAAUGGUAUUCCGGUGAUAUUUUCUAAUUCGGACUCCAACGAUGGCGUUGUUCGCCUAUCCUCUGACAUAAACAUAGAGUUCAUUUCCCUCAGACCCAAACUUUGCCGAACAACAACAGUGUGGAAGGUCGAUGAUUACGACCAUUCAGCCGGAAAAUGGUGGGUGAUAACCGAUGGGGUUAAAGGGAACCCAGGUGCCAACACUUUGACCAGUUGGUUUAGAAUAGAGAAGGUGGGUACUGAUUUUCAAUAUUACACAUUUAAGUACUGCCCCGCAGUAUGUGGAACAUGCCCAGCCUUAUGCAACCAAAUUGUGAGAGACUUUGAUGGAGAAAUGGUACGUUUGGCUCUCACCACUGGCCAUGGAUGGCCAUUUAUCUUUAAGAAAGUUGGAAAAUCAGCCAUGGAGAUUGAACAAGUUGUUCAUAAUUAGAUUGAAAGCAAUCAUUAUGCAUGAACUAGUAGUUACUACAUAAUAUUAGCUUCAAGUAAAUAAUGCUGAGGGAACUUAUUGUUAAGAUUGCCUUGUUUGAAGCGGCAGCAUGUAUAUAUAUAUGCUUGCUUACAAGGUUUGUCUCUCAGAGUCCUCCUCUUUGUACUCUUUUCAGCUUAAUGAAUAAACUGUUUACUUAUUUACUUCUUUUGUUGCCAUUGAUUCUAGUAGCAUUCGACUCAUUAACUUGGAUACAUUACCUUGUAAUUAACCAAAAAGUUAUGUGUAUAUAUAUAAAGAGUGUGUGAGAGAAAAAAUAGAAUACCAAGUACCAAGUGAAAAAUGUUAAUACUAGGAUUAUUCAAAGCGAUUUCAAUGAACAGAAAUGGAAUAGUCGUCGGGUGGUUAGGGCAUUUUAUCUUUAGAGAUAAAGAAGGUUGGUUCAUGUUCGGAGUUUGUGGCUACUCCUUCAAUAAUAUCGUUUUUAAAGUUUAAACUUGUAUCACAUUUUAAACACGUAAUGUAUCUUACCAUUACAUCCAACAAUAUUAACCAUUUACUCUAUUGUAUUGUAUUGUAUUCUAUUAUUAAUUAAUGAUUAUGAUAUGUAUUAAGUUUAAGAUGAAUUUUCUCAGUAAUAUAUAUCAAUGGAAUCAAAUAUUUGUAUUUAAAGUUUUAACUCCACAUUAACUUUUUCUUUAUUUUGUCCGUUUGCUGGCGAUGAUUAGGAGAUUAAUGGUUGGUAUUUGUGGUUAGUAGGUUAUAACUCAAUAGUGAACUCGAGGGUUGAUAGUGGCCCGACUCCACUUAAAUAAAAAAUUUUACAUUUAAAUCUCUUUAUAAUUUAUAAAAUUUUAAAUUAAUAAUAAAAAAAUUAUAUUUUAACUCUCUAAAAUUAAUAAAAAUGAUAAAAAUGUAGAAGUAAAUUUAUACAAUUAAUGAUAAUAAUGAUAAGAAGUUGUUUCCUGUCACAUGGAAAUUUAUGGCAUCGUCCAUUUGGUUUUAUAUUUGUCCAUUUGCUUGGUUAAGAGUUGAAAGACAAACUAUAAUUAAGUAUACAAAACCAAACGAAUUUCAAGGGUUUUCUCUUCAAUUAUUGUCGAAUUUAGCUAAUUAUUAGUAAUUUUUAUUAUUUAAUUAUAAAAAUUAUAAAAUAAUGACUUAAUUAUAAGAAUUAUAAAAUAGUGACUUAAUUAUAAAAAUAUAUAUAAAUAGCCAUCUAAUUAUUUAAUUUUUUUUCUUUUUUAUCAUCACCGGAUUAAUGGUGGUAAUUUUUAUAAUUGACAUAAUAGUAACUUUAACCAUUAAUAAUUAUACAUUAUGUCAAUUUAGUCUUGAUUCUAAAAAAUUUAACCUUUGACAUUUACACAUAUAUAAUUUGACAUUUUUAUAAUUUUAUUUUUUACUAAAAAUAAAUCAUGAAAAUAAUAAAAUAUGCAUAAAAAUAAAAAUACAGCUACCGAGUAUAUGUCUUAAUGUAGAUUUAUAACAAUUAUCUUUUCAUAAAGAUAUUUUAUUAUAAAAUAUAUAAUAAGCACUUCCCUGUAACAAAUAAAAUUGUAGUAAACAAAUGAAAUUAUUAUAAAGAAGAAUUUUCUAUUUUCAUAAUAAUAAUAAUAAUAAUAAUAAUAAAAGAAAAGAAAAAAGUGGUUCUAUUAAUUCACCUCACAUUUGAAAUGUGUUAUAUGUAAUAAUAUUAAUGUCUUUAUCAAUUUUGGUGGUUCAUCCUUUCCCAUCUCUAUAAACACUACACCAGAAUAGGUUUUUAGCGGCGUUUUUUAGGCCUUUAGCGACGCUUAUUAACGCCACUAAAUCUAUUUCCGGCACUUACAAAAAAAAGCCGCUAAAGAUCAUGUUCUUUAGCGGCGCUUAGGAAAAAACGCCGCAAAAAAUCAUGUUCUUUAGCGGCGCUUAGAAAAAAACGCCGCUAAAGAUCAUGUUCUUUAACGGCGCUUAGAAAAAAACGCCGCUAAAGAUCAUGUUCUUUAGCGGCGCUUUGGAAGAAAACACCUCUAAAAGUAAUGUUCUAUAGCGGCGCUUGUUCAAAAACGCCGCUAAAAGUAGUGUUCUUUAGCGUCGCUUGUUUCACAAACGCCACUGUUUUGAUAUGACUUUUAGCGGCGCUUUUUUAAAAAAUGUCACUAAUUUUGGGAUUUUUUUAAAAUAAAAUUUUCUGUUUUUUUCAGCCCUCCUGCAACAACAAAUCAAAAGCAACCAGAUCUAAACUAACCAAAAAUAAUAAAUUUAUAUAAUAUUUCAAAUUAAAUGAAUAAAAUAAUAUUAAUUGAUAUAAAUAAAAGUGAAUUUCAGACUUUUCUUUACAAAAACGUUAAAAGUAUUUAUGCAACAUACACUAUGACGGCGGAAGUUGCGACUGCUGAAACAUCUUCAUCAUAAUCUAAAGCUGCUGUUGAAGUUCGUCGUACUUUUUGCUCUACUUUGCUUCUCUCGAUGCCGCAUCUUUUUGAAGCCGUAGCUGUAGUUCUUCACAUUUCUUUUGAACCUCUGCUUCUAUCGCUGCUUAUCUCGCUACGGCAUCUGCUUCCCUCACUGCUGCCUCUGAUUUAAGUUGUUGCUGAAGUUCUUCAUAUUUCCUUUGAACCUCAAAUGUGGUCGCUUGCAUCUGAGUCAUCUAGUCUUUUAACCUCUGAACUUCAGCUUGAGACUGACUCCCCGAAGCCAUGUAUUGGUGCGAGCUGGAUCCAAAAUAUUGGGUUGGGCUGAUAAAAGAUCCUUGAAAUCGAACCCGACCAUACUUUUCAGGACCCAAAACUUUAGUAAUAAUCCGGUUAUCAAUGUCUUCAAGAUGAAUAGAACUAUCACUAGAAGCAAUCGUUUCGUACUCUGUCUUUUUUUCCUUCAGUUUUUCCUAAUAAAUAAAUCACAUAGUUAGGAACGCAAUAUAUAGUAAAAAAAACAAAUGCAAUAUAACAAUAGUCGCAUUACAAGCAAUGAAUUAAACCAUUAGAAAAUAAACACUAUAAAUAACUAAAACAAGUGAAAUCGUAUUAAGUAAACGUACCAUAAUUUCACCAGCUUCAGGAGUCAUAGCAGAUCCAUCUUUCUUCUUAUGUGUAAUUUCAAAAAGUUGAAGGCGUCCAACUUUUUGAUCGGACGACCGUUCCUACAACACUCUUUUUUAAGUUUUUAUUGGGGGAUAUUUGCUUGAUGUAAGUGAGAUAUUUUGGAGAGAGUGAUUUGUAAUAAUUUAGGUUCAAUAUUGAAGUUGCAAAUAACUAUAAGGUAAUGGUAAUUUAGACUUUAGUCAAUAGUUAAUCAAGACGAAUUGUAAAUAAAAAUUAUUUUUUAAGCGAAACUCUACAGAAUAAAACUAGUGAACUCAAACUACUGAACUCAAACUACGCUAACAAAUAUUACAUAUUAUCUUUCCUUACUUUACUUGUUGCUUUACCUUAUUUUAAAAUUGUUUUGUCAUAAAUGUAUUAUGUUUGAACCUUUCCGAUCGAAAUAAAAAAAAUGAGAUUGAAAUUGUGAUAAAGCUAAAAAAAGGUUACAACAAAUAUGAUUAAUAUUAUUUUUAUAUAUACUUAAUAAAAGUUAAAAAGGGAAUUACAUUUAUUGAAUAUUAUUUUAUUUAAUAAAAUAUAAUUACUAUAUUUUAUAUAAAAUUUAAAUAUUUUAUUGUUUGUUAGUUAAAUUUUAUUUUUUUUUAUUUUCUUUAUGAAUAAAAUUAAUUUUCCUAAAAUUUGAGAUAAAAAAUGUUAUAUAGAAAAUUAAAUUAGUAAAAAGUUAAAAAAAUCAAUUCUAAAAUAAACUUAACUAUUAUAAUAAAAUAUUUUUAUAUAAAAAAAAAGAAAUUAUAGAAAAGACUUAUUGAAUAUAUUUCCUAUUUUCGACAUUCAUAAAAAAAAAAAAGUGGUCCUAAUAAUUUUUUUAUACAAAACAAAAAAAAGUGGUCCUAUUAAUUUACCUCACAUUUGAAAUGUGUUAUAUGUAAUAAUAUUAAUAUCUUUAUCAAUUUUGGAGGUUCAUCCUUUCCCAUCUCUAUAAAUUUGCAUGCAGAACUAAAGCAACACAUAUCAACACAAUCUGUAUAACCAUGAAAACCACAACAGCUUCGGUGUUUCUUCUUUUCAUCAUCUUCUCAAUCACACCAUUGUCCUUUUCGUUUGGUGUGGCCAACACUUCAAACGCUCCUGUGCUCGACAGUGAUGGCAACGAGCUCCGCACAGGCACCCCAUACUUCGUUGUGUCGUCGAUAUGGGGUGCUGGUGGUGGGGGGCUUGCCCUAGGCAUGCCUAGAGGAAAGCCAUGCCCGGAAGUCGUUGCUCAAAGAGGAUCUGGUGACGAUGGUAUUCCGGUGAUAUUUUCUAAUUCGGACUCCAACGAUGGCGUUGUUCGCCUAUCCUCUGACAUAAACAUAGAGUUCAUUCCCCUCAGACCCAGAUUUUGCCAAACAACAACGGUGUGGAAGGUCGAUGAUUACGACCACUCAGCCGGAAAAUGGUGGGUGAUAACCGAUGGGGUUAAAGGGAACCCAGGUGCCAACACUUUGACCAGUUGGUUUAGAAUAGAGAAGGCGAGUCAUCUUGAUUACACAUUUAAGUACUGCCCCGCAGUAUGUGGAACAUGCCCGGCUUUAUGCAACAAAAUUGCGAGAGACUUAGAUGGAGAAAUGAUGCGUUUGGCUCUCUCCACUGACCAUGGAUGGCCAUUUUUCUUUAAGAAACUUCAAACAUCAGCCAUGGAGAUUGAACAAGUUGUUCAUAAUUAGAUUGAAAGCAAUCAUUAUGCAUGAACUAGUAGUUACUAUACAAUAUUAGCUUCAAGUAAAUAAUGCUGAGAGAACUGAUUGUUAAGAUUGCCUUGUUUGAAGCAGAAGCAUGCAUAUAUAUAUGCUUGCCUACAAGGUUUGUCUCUCAGAAUCCUCUUUGUACUCUUUUCAGCUUAAUAUAUAAACUGUCUACUUAUUUACUUCUUUUAUUAAUGUCAUUGAUUCUAGUAGUAUUAGACUCAUUAACUUGGAUACAUUGUCUUGUAAUUAACCCAAAAAUUAUAUAUAUAUCAAAAAAAAAAAUGAGAGUGAGAGAGGAAAAUAGACUACCAAGUAACAAGUGAAAAAUGGUAAUACUAGGGUUAUUUAGAGUGGUUUCAAUGCACAACCGGAAUGAAUUGUUACCUUAUCUUUAGAGUCAAAGAAGGGUUCGUGACUAGUCUUUCAACAAUACUAUUUUCAAGGUUCAAACCUGCAUUAUCCUUUAAAUACGUAAUGUAUUUUAUCAUUACGCUCAAUAUUAUUAGUGAUUUACUUUAUUCUAUUCUUAAUUAAUAAUUAUGAUAUAUAUAAAGUUUAAGAUGGAUUUUCUUAUUUAUGUAUAUCAAUUAAAUCAAAUAUUUGUAUUUAAAGUUUUAACCCAACAUUAACUUUUUUUUUAAAAAUUUCUUCGUUUGUUGGUGGUGAUUAGGAGAUUGAUGGCCGGUCUUUGUGAUUGGUAGCUUUUAACACAAUGGCGAAGCUAAGGAGGCUUUAAAUGUUUAAAUGAAUAUUUUUUUCAAUUGAAAUUUCUUUAUAAUUUAUAAAAUUUUAAAUUAAUAAUGAUAAAAUUACAUUUUAAUUUUUUAAAAAUGAUAAAAACGUGGAAGCACAUUUGUACGAUUAAUAAUAAUGAUAAUAUUUUUCCUACCACAUGGAAGUUUAUGGAAACACCAUUGGGUUUUGUAUUUAUGUUUUAUUCGACACUCUUAUAAGUUUUACUGGGGAGAUUUGUUUGAUUGUAAGUGAGGUAUUUUGCGGAGAGUGAUUUAUAAUAAUUUAAAAUUAAUAUUGGGGUUACAAAUAACUAUGGGAGUAAAGUAGUUUAGACUUUAGCUAAUAAUUGAUCAAGAUGGAUUGUAGAAUAAAAUCAUUUUCGAAGCAAAAUUUUAUAAAAUUAGUAAAUCUGAAUUAUUCUAUAAUAUUGAUAUUAUCUUUCUUCACUUUAGCCCUUGCUUCACCUUAUCUCAAAAUUAUUCUAUAAUAAUCUAUUUUGUCUCAACCUUUUCAACAGAAUUUAAAAUGAAACUAUUUCUAUGAAGUGCAAACCAAAAACUUUUUCACAUACCAAUAAAUGGCAAGCAACCAUACCGUGGGCCCAAUGUCCCAACAAUCAUCUAAACAUUUUUUUUUUCUUUUUUAAAUAAUAUGUAAUAAUUUAUAUACCAUAAAUGAAUAUUAAUUAAAAUAAUAUAAACAAAAUACGACUCUUUAAUAUAAUAUGGAUCCAAAAUGUUUCAUAUUUGAAAUGCAGUUUUUGAUAAUUUCACAUUUCAUAUUUUAUCUUAGAACAAAAAGAAAAUUUGAACUUAAUAUUUGGACUAUUGAUCAAUGGUGUUUAUUAUAUUUCAAGACUAUCAGAUUAAUCUGUCGAUACUACUUAUAUGGUAUGGUUUAAAUGGGUGUGUGUGGAUAUAGAAAUUUGAAAUUCUAUUGUAUCAAAGAAAUUUUUUUUAAAAAUAAAAUAAAAAGGAAUUUGAAAUUUAAAAUUUGAGAUCAAAAUAAAAAAAAUGAGACUUGUUAUAAACCAUAAGGCUCAAAAAAGGUUACAACAAAUAUGGUUAAUAUUAUUUUUAUAUAUACUUAAUAAAAGUUUAAAAUAUCAAAUUUGUAAUAUUAUUUUUAUUUAAUAAAAUAUAAUUAAUAUAUUUUAUAUAAAAUUUAAAUAUUUUAUUGAAAUAUUAUGUUAGGUAAAUUUUAUUAAUUUUAUUUUCUUUAUAAAUAAAAUUAAUUUUAUUAAAAUUUGAGAUAAGAUAAUUAAAUUAAUAAAAGGUAUACUUCAUAUUUUAUAGUUAUUAUAAAUAAAAAAUUAUUAUAAAAAUUAAAAAAAAAGAAUUCUACAACAUAAUGAAAUAUUUUUAUUAAAAAAAACAGAAAUGAUUGAUGGAAUAUAUUUCCAAUUUUCGACGUUCAUUAAAAAAAAAAGAGUGGUCCUAAUAAUUGAUUUAUUGGGGAAAAAAAAGUGGUCCUACUAAUUUACCUCACAUUUGAAAUGUGUUAUAUGUAAUAAUAUUAAUAUCUUUAUCAAUUUUGGAGGUUCAUCCUUUCCCAUCUCUAUAAAUUCGCAUCGAGAAAUAAAGCAAUACAUCAACGCAAUCUGUAUAACCAUGAAAACCACAACAGCUUCAGUGUUUCUUCUUUUCAUCAUCUUCUCAGUCACACCAUCAUCUUUUUUGUUUGGUGUAGCCAACGCUACAAACGAACCUGUACUCGACAUUGAUGGCAACGAGGUUCAAACAGGCACCCCAUAUUACGUUGUGUCGUCCAUAUGGGGUGCUGGUGGUGGGGGGCUUGCCCUAGGCAGGCCUAGCGGAAACCCAUGCCCGGAAGUCGUUGCUCAAAGACGAUCCGGUGACGAUGGUAUUCCGGUGAUAUUUUCUAAUUCGGACUCCAACGAUGGCGUUGUUCGCCUAUCCUCUGACAUAAACAUAGAGUUCAUUCCCCUCAGACCCAAACUUUGCCGAACAACAACGGUGUGGAAGGUCGAUGAUUACGACCAUUCAGCCGGAAAAUGGUGGGUGAUAACGGAUGGGGUUAAAGGGAACCCGGGUGCCAACACUUUGACCAGUUGGUUUAGGAUAGAGAAGGCGGGUGAUCUUGAUUACACAUUUAAGUACUGCCCUGCAGUAUGUGGAACAUGCCCAGCUUUAUGCAACAAAAUUACGAGAGACUCAGAUGGAGAAAUGGUACGUUUGGCUCUCUCCACUGGCAAUGGAUGGCCAUUUUACUUUAAGAAAGUUGGAAAAUCAGCCAUGGAGAUUCAACAAGUUGCUCGUAAUUAGAUUGAAAGCAAUCAUUAUGCAUGAACUAGUAGUUACUACAUAAUAUUAGCUUCAAGUAAAUAAUGCUGAGAGAACUUAUUGUUAAGAUUGCCUUGUUUGAAGCGGCAGCAUGUAUAUAUAUAUAUGCUUGCUUACAAGGUUAAUUUGUCUCUCAGAGUCCUCUUUGUACUCUUUUCAGCUUAAUGAAUAAACUGUUUACUUAUUUACUUCUUUUGUUGCCAUUGAUUCUAGUAGCAUUCGACUCAUUAACUUGGAUACAUUACCUUGUAAUUAACCAAAAAGUUAUGUAUAUAUAUAUAUAUAUCAAAACAAAACAAAAAAGAGAGUGAGAGAGGAAAAUAGACUACCAAGUACCAAGUGAAAAAUGGUAAUACUAAAUUUCCAGAUAUAUGGCAUUGUUUGUGUGUGACAAACACCAAGUAUAAAUAGGUGGAAGUAUGACUACUUAUCAAGAGUGGUAUGGUUCAAAAACUACCCCUAUCGAAUUAUUUCAUCCUACUCAUUCGUUAUCGAUAGGAAGAAGGAUACUUCCAACAAGAAAUAUUUUGAAGGGUUAGUGUUGAGUUAGCUAAAAAUCAAAGUUUAUCAGAAGCUCGAUCUAAAAUUCGCCAAAAGGAGGAUUAUUCAAAGCGAUUUCAAUAGACAACGGGAAUGGAAUAGUCUUUGAGUGGUUAGGGCACCUUAUCUUUUGAGAUAAAGAAGGGUUGGUCCAUGUUUGCAGUUCGUGACUAAUCCUUACAACAAUGUCGUUUUCAAGGAUUGAACAUGUGUCAUCCUUUGAACAUGUAAUGUGUCUUACAAUUACACCUAACAUUGUUGGUGAUUUACUUUAUUAUAUUCUUAAUUAAUAAUUAUGAUAUAUAGUAUGUUUAAGAUGCAUUUUCUUAUUCAUGUAUAUCAAUUGAAUCAAAUAUUUGUAUUUAAAAUUUUAACUCGACAUAUCGAAGGUCUGCUACUCUAGCACGUCUUUGGUCUGCUGCUCUAGCAUGUUUUGGUUUUUUUAGGGUUUUUUUGGCUUAUUUCUCUUUGUUCUAGCGAUGACAGUUCUUGGGAUAGAGUAUUUCUUUUCAAUCUGGUUGAUUUUGAUUCGUGGCAAUGGAGGAUGAAUUGGCAGAGUUAACAUUGGAAGAUGAGGAAUAGGAGAUUUUGCAAGUACAGAAGGAAACUGAUUCUGCGACAGUGGUUUAAGAUCUUUGUCUGGUUGGAUACUUUCUCACAACGAGUGUAAUCCACUUUAUGACAAUGAGAAGCGCGAUGGCAAAUCUAUGGCAUCCUCUUAGAGGAGUUCAGAUCUCUAAUUUGGGGGAUAAGAAAUUAUUUCAAUUUUUUCAUAAAAUGGAUAUUGAUAGGGUACUAAAUGGGGAUCCAUGGACUUUCAAUAAUCAUCUUUUGGUGAUUCAUUUUUUGGAGGAUGGUGAGGAUCCGAUGAAGGUACCGCUAAUCUAUACGACUUUUAAGGUGCAAGUGCAUGAUUUACCCCCAGGGUUUUUUACUGAAUCUAUAGCAAAGAAGUUAGGCAAUUUUAAGGGUAAGUUUUUUGGAUCAAUGGAAAAAGCUUGGGUAAGGGCCUCAGGAAUUUCUUACAUAUACGGGUUUAGAUGGAUGUUAGAUGCUAUUUGAAGCGAAAAAAGAAGAUUAUGUUUUCACUUGGCAAGUGUUCCUAUGUCAACUUGAUAUACGAAUGACUAACUCUAUUCUAUUUUGUCUAUGGUUGUUUGGUAGACAAUGACUCUUUCUGUCAAGUUAGAAUGGCUAAAGGCUUAGAAGUUGUAGAGAUGGGAUGGUAUCUGUCUCUAAAAGCCCAGUCUAGGAGAGCUACUACGAUGAACAGCGUGUGGCUGCGGGAGGAAGGUAAAGGUGAGAUAAAGGGAAAUACCAUAGGACAUUUUGAUUUAGGGUAGGGAUUGUGGAAGGAUGGAAGGAAAGAAUCUAGGAUGCCCAUAGAUCUGUGUUGGGGUUAAAUUUGGAGGGUGGUUUGAAGUUAGUGUCGGGUAUGCAAGGGAACUCUUCAACGAUACAAGAUCAUUCGAAUAUGGAUCACGACUCAGAGGAAUGCGCUAUAAAAGGUAAAGAUGGGAAAAAAAGACCCAAAAAGGAUAAUGGAAAUCAUAGUGUUUCGAUUGUGACAGAUUCACUUGUGAUUAGAGAUGAGAGAUUGUUGGGACGAACUCACUUUUUAUCGGCAGCUGCCAAGGGGCAAGAUGAUCAGUCACAAUAAAAAUAAUUAGUUGGAACAUCCGUUGAUUGGGGUGUCCACAGGCUAUAAGAAGGCUUUGACAUAUGUUGAAGGUGUAUAAUCCCCAAGUGGUCUUCUUUAUGGAGACAAAAAUUAGUAAUGUGCAAAUAGAGAAUGUGCAUAGAAGGUGUGGAUUUUUAAAUGGUAUUGAUGUUUCGGCCGAUGGUUCAAGAGGAGGUCAUUUUCUAGCUUGGAAGGAAAAUGUUAAAACGAAUCUAAUGAGUUAUUCUAGUAGUCAUGUAGAUGUUGUAUUUUAGAAGAUUGAUAAUGGAGGUUUGCUGGCUUUUAUGGGACAUCAAAUGCGUGUAGCAGAGACGAUUCAUGGAAUUUGUUAAGAAAUCUAGGACGCUCUCAAGCGUUCCCUUGGCUAGUGUGUGACAAUUUUAAUGAAAUUAUAUACUCUUUUGAAAAGGUUGGGGUGCCAAGAGAGGAGAAGAGAAUAGAGGUCUUUUGAGGAGUCUUAUAGGAAUGUUAGUUAAUGGACAUUGGAUACUUUAGGGCUAGGUUUACCUGGGAAAGGGGAAACUUACCGAAAACGAAUAUGAGAGAGCGACUGGAUAGAGGAGUGGCGAAUGCCGAAUGGAUGAACAUGUUUUCUAGUGCAGUGGUUUAGCAUUUACCACAUUCUUUUCCAGAUCAUUGUCCCCUUUUUAAUCAUACGGAGCAGGAGAGUAAUAGGUUGAGGCAGAAAAGGUUUCAGUCCGAGGCAUGGUGGGUGAUGUAAGAAUCUUUUGAGGAGGAGGUUAAACAAAUAUGUCAAUCUACUUCGGGUGAUAUGUUGGCUAAGCUAGAAGGUGUGAGGAAGGGCUUAGUGAGAUGGGCGGGUUUUGUUAGAAAUAAAAGAGAGGGCCUUAAAAGGAAUUUGACUAGAAAAUUGGAGGAGAUGAUGGGAAAGGAUAGAGAUGAUGAGAAUAUUGUUGAACUAUCUUAAAAUUCUCUUGUCAUAACUUGAAGUUUGUGUCAUUUAAUAUAAGAAUACAAUUAAUGCCUGCAAUAAUGUUGGCAGGUAUAAUUAUUGUUGUAUCAAACAAAACAAUCUCAUGUAUGACUUCAAAUAUAAAACAAAAUAAUAAUUAAUUCGAAUAAAGGUAAACCCUAAGAUACCAAUCACUCCAUUAAUAUUUCAUUUUUGAACAAAUAUAUUAAGUUGUAAAUGAUAUCUUGGUGUAGUAAUUAAACACCGACAAUAAGCGUCACAUGUUUAUUACAACAGUUGCAAAUGUAAUUUUGUUAAAUAUUAGCCUCCAUUUAGGCCAGUCAAUAUUAACAUAACUUAAGUUACAUACACACAACCCCAAAAUUAUAAAAGUCCUAUUGUUAAAUUGAUUUGGUUCCUUUGACAUAGGAAAGCCGAAUUGCAUAAACAAUCAAUGUAUCCCCUAUUUUAUUCAUGUUUAUCACAAUGUUUGAAGGAGUGCUCACUCUUUUAGGGCGUGUUUACCAUUGAGGUUGAAAAGUAUCAUUAAACCCAAACAAUUAUUUCAAACCAAACAUUAAUUUUAAACUAGGAUUUUAGGCCAACCCAAAACUUCUAGCUUUUACUUUUUGGAAAGGUGCUUUUCAAUUAAAAACCUUUUUAUUCCUCGUUAAACUUUCUACUUUAUAACAUAAUGUCUAAAAUGGAAAUUUUAUUUUUCUAAAAACACUUAUAGACAACAAUAAUAAUUACUAUUAAUUUUUUCAAAAUCACUUUUCUACGGCACUGUUAAACUUAAAUGAUAAUCUAGCCUUUUAACCACUCUUUUCUAACAGAGAGCUUAUCUCUUAGCAAUAGUUUGGGCAAACAAAAAUAAUGUAUAUAUGAAAACGAAUAUUGAAUUUGAAUGUACAAUCAAUUUUCUGAAUAAUUAAUUAAAAAGAAUGUUUGAAUUCAAAAAUUUUAAAAAUUUUGAUAAAAAAUGUGGAAGCGCAGACUUGUGUGAUGAAUAGUAAUGAUAAUAAUGAUAGAAGCUGUUUCCUGGCACGAGGAACUUAUGGAAUUCGUCCAUUUGGUUCUAUAUUAGCCCUGUUGCUUCCGUGUUUAAGAGUAAAACGACAAAAUAUUAAGUAGAAAACACCAAACGAAUUGAACUAUUUUCUUAAGAUGGUGUCGGUAAUGUAUCUGUGGAUACCCAUUUGAAUUUUUAAAAAACUGAAAAAAUUAAUUUAUUUUUUAGAUUGAAUCAGCAGCAGGAAAAUAAGAAAAAAUACAACUUUGAGUUUGAGUUUGGAACUCUGAGAUUUCGCUCGGUGAUCUGAAUGGUGAGGUGGUAUGUUUAAAUACGGAGAAUAAUAUAUAUUCGACUAGCAACAAUCUGAUGGAGUGAAAUAGGAACUGAAAAAAAGGGUAAUUUAAAGUUUUGGUCAUUGUUUUAAAAGAUUACCUUCAGUCAUUAUAUUUUUCAGUUUUGGAAUUCCAGUACUACUUAAAUUGUAAUUGUUAAAUCUAUUUACUAUAAUGAUAUAAAAUUUUUAUGAAUAUUAACACUAUUAUUUUUUUUAAAGCACUUAUUCAUGGCACAAGGAACUUAUGAUGAAUAGUAAUGAUAAUAAUGAUAGAAGUUGUUUUUCUGGCACAAGGAACUUAUGAUGAAUAGUAAUGAUAAUAAUGAUAGAAGUUGUUUUCCUGGCACAAGCAACUUAUGGGAUUCGUCCAUUUGGUUCUAUAUUUCUCCGCUUGCUUGAGCGUUUAAGAGUUAAAGGACAAAUUAUUAAGUAGAAAACACCAAACGAAUUGGAAGGCUUUUGUCUUCUUCAAUUGGUAUGACCUAUAUUUCUUAUUAAACUUCGUAUUUUACAUUCAAUAUCAUCAUCACAAUCAUUUUAAUUUAUUUUCAUGAAUAAACUUUUAUGUCUCAUUUUAAUUGAAUCAUUAAAAUUUAUUAAUUGAAUUUUUUUUUAAGAUGGUACCGUUAAUGUGUCAAGUGAUAUCAAUUUAAAUUUUUAAAAAAAGUUGUUUGAAUUAAUUUGAUUUCAUUCGGUAAUCCAAACAGUGAGAUAGUGUGUUUAACUACGGGGAAUAACAUAUAUCCAAAUGGUGACAAUCUGGUGGAGCGAAACAGAUAUCGAAGAAAGAGUAGUUUAAUGAAUUUGGAGUCGACUUCUGGAAAAUCUGAAUUAUAGAAGUGAACGAAGAGGAAAUCUCUUCUUUGGUGCCGUAAUCGACAUAAACGGCCAUUAUGAAUGGCAACAUCGAUAAUUAUUGAGUACAAUGAUUAAAAUUUUCAGUUAAAAAAAAGGAAUGGAAAGGAAAACAAAAAGAAAAACGUGGAAAGAAAGAAAGAAUAAUAAUAAUUAAUUAAUAAAUAAAAAGAGAAUUGUGGGGGCGAUGCUUUUGAACAAAUCUUGAUUUAAACUAUGUAAAGAAAAUAUGCGUUAUAUAUAUAAUUAAUUAUGCACUUAUACUUAAUAUAUUAUAUAUUUAAUGUCAUAUUUUCAUAUUCUCGGGAAGUGGUAAUAUACAAGUACUUGAUUUGAUUUAUUUCUUGAUCGCUUCGUGAAUUUUAUGUUUGUAACAAUAGGGACAGAAUUUCUUCAAUUCCAAUCGACUGGGCGUAUUGUGUCAAUUUUUUUUGAGUAAUAUACCUAGAAAUACCCGUUGAUUCCUUAUAAACGCCGUUUCAAACACAACUGGUACACCCCAAAAUAACCGUUACUCAGACAUCUUUACUAUUGACCAUGAACCUCCUUUGAGUUUUUAAUUCACCUAACUUUUCUAUUUUUCAAUCAAAAGCGAAGAAGAAAGGAAUGAAAAAAAGAAAGAAAUCAAAGUUGCUAACUCAAAACAAAUCCUGACAAUUUUGGUUGCAAUCAAUAUAGCAAGUCAAUAUAAAUUUAUAGUAAUAGCAAAUAAUAAGAAUAAGUAAUACAACGAUUUCUAACUCUAUUUAGAAUCAAAUCAGAGUAUGGUAUUUUCUUUAAUCAAUUAAUUGAAUUCAAAAUAUUCAAUUAAAAUAAAUUAAAUUGUAUAAAUUUUAUAAUUUUAAAUUAUUAUUUUUGUAUUAAUUUAAAACAAAAUAAAUAUUAUAUACAAUAAUUUAGUUGCAGCAUGUCAGCUUGAAGUCCAAGACCUUAUAACAUAUAAAUUUAAUAGAUAAUUAAUAACUAAAAAAUUAAAUAGCAAAAGCAUAAUUGCGCCACUUCUCACCAUUUUAGUGUAUGCAACUUAUUAUAUAUUUAUAUAUAUUAUCAUUUCAUUUUAAAUAAUUUAAUUUUUAUAUUAAUUUUUAUAAAUUUAGGGAUAAAUCUUAAAAUUAUACAUAAACUUUAAUUUAAUGUGUAAUUGCAUACAUAAACUUUAAUUUGGUACAAUUAUACACAUGAUACUCUAAUUGUGGUUCAAAUACAUACUUGAAACUUUAAUUUUGAUUUAAUCAUACACAUUUAAAUAAAUAAAUACAUCAAUUUAUUUUUAUAUUGGGUAAAUAUAUUUAUGUAUGCAAUAUAUAACAUAAAAUGAUGUUAUAUCAAUAAUUGUGUUAAUAAUUUUCAAGAAUUGGAUCAAAUCAAAAUUUCAUGUAUAAAAUUGCACAAAAUCAAAGUUCAUGUAUACAAUUGCACAUUAAACCAUAAUUCAUGUACAGUUUUAGUAUUUAUCCCAUAAUUUAUUAAAUAAACUUUUUACCUAUAUCAUAUAUAGAGUUGUCUGUGAACCGAGCCAAGGAAUGCCCGCUCGAAAAAAUGAGGGUUUAAGAAAAAAAAUAUGCCCAAAAAAAGGGCUUGGAUAAAAAGACAAGGCCCGUUUAGAAAAUGAAUCGGGCCUUUGCUAAGGUUUUUUUUGUCCAAGCUCAGCCCGACCCAAAUUUUCAAUAAAAAAACCCUACUGUUUUUACCGCUAUUUUUUCAUAUUUUGGUGUUGUUUUCUCACUUUUUGCCACUGGUUUACUAUCAUUUCACUAUUAUGUUACUACUAUUUUUUUUGUUAAUGUUUGGAUAUUGUAUAACACUUGUUUUAUUGUUAAUUUUGUCACUAUUUUAGAGGCAUUUGUUUGUUAUGUUGUACUUAUCUUAGUUUUUAUUUAAGUAUAAAAAAUUUUUAAAUUCUAUUUUCAAUUUAUUGGAAACAUGUAAUUUAAUAUUUGUAGUAUAUUUGGUGUAUUAUAAUAAUAUUUAUUAUUAAAAUAUUAAUAUUGAAUAUUUUCAAUAAUAUGUGAAGAAUAUUAUUUAAAAUUAUUUUUUAAAAUUUAUUAUUAAAUUAAAAUUGAAAUAUUAAAUAAUUUAUUAAAAUAAUUAAUUAUAUUAAUAAUUAAUUAUAUGACUAAAUAUAAAUAAUUAAAUAUGUAUGUUUAAUAAUAUUGAAAAAUAUAAUAUUUUAUAUUAAUAUUUUAAAUAUUUUUAAAAAUAAAAAUAAAAGUUAUUUUUAAUAUAAUAAUAUUAAGCUUGAUUUAAAUUAAUUUUUAUAUAAAAAUAAAAUUACCUAUAGAUGAGCUCAUUUUUUAGAAAAUGACUUACACUUUUCAAAAUGAUAAGUCAUUUUAUAGGAAAAAGAGCUAAUUUUACGUUGACCUAUAAGUCAUUUUCCGUUGACCAAACUGUUUUCUGUAAAACAAACAUAGAAAAAUGCAGAAAAUAGUUUCCGUAAAACUUUUUACAUGUAAACAAAUGGACCCUUAAUUCAAGCUUAUUCCAACAUAACCCACUUCACUAUUAGCAUGACUCUCCCUUAUACUAAAUUUAACCAUUAACCCUUCUCAUGAUUUCUAACAAAAAUUUUCAAGUUCUCUUUAAUGGCAACUUGUAUUAACUUCAACAAUAAGAAAUUCUAACUAUGGGGUUGGUUGUAUCAAGUUUCAUAGUUUAAAAAUCUAUAAAAAAAUUAUUGAGAAAAUAAUUUGUUUACCUUUGAUGGCCUUGAUGGAGAACAACUUGGUUUCUUCUUCUACUUAGUUUAAAGAAUGCAUGAAGAAGAAGAAGAUUUCCCCUCUCCCACUAUUUUAAAUAUAUAUAUAAAUAACCUAUUAAUCAAGGUAAUUAAGUCACUAAUUAACCUUAAUUAGUUAUGAUCUAAUGGCCAUAAACUUAUCAUGAGAAAAUUAGUGGAAAUGUGCGGCAUUGAUAAUGGUUUGCCAAUAAUCAAACUUUGGGCAUGGUAAUAUUGCAAUCAGGUUUUUGGUAUAAUUACACUUUUAAGUACUUGCUAAAUUCUGUAAUCAAUUCCCACUAGUUGGGUCACUUGAACAAUUGGGUCCAUGUACUAUAGUUACAACUUAUCCAAUUUAAUCAAUUAAUGAUUUGACUUUAUAAUUUCAUGUACAACACACAAACUCCUCUAGUAAAUUCUCGAGCUAGCUUUAUUUAAAAAUUUGGCCUCAAAAAUAGCUUUCCAAAUGUUCAUGAAAAUUGAGUCGUUACAUAUGGUAUUUGUUUUGUUCAGCUUAUUUGUCAGGCUCUAUAUCCUUUGAACUUAUGUUCGUUGACUUUGGUGUUGCUUAAAUGAAAAUGUGGUGAACAAUCUUAUGGAUAGGAGGAGUGUAUGAUUGAGUAUGUGUAACACCCUUAACCCACAUCCUUCGCCGAAUUAGAGUGACAGAGUGUUACUUGUAACACCCCAAACCCAGCCUAAACGUUAUGGUCGUAUCUGGCAAUGUCACACAAUAGUGUUUUUGAAACCUCGUUGUUACGUUGAAAACAUUUCAUGUUAUUAUCUUUAGUAAACAUUUGUUAGAACUUAGGAAGUCGUCUUUAUUCAUUUAAAACAUUUGUUUUGAAACAUCCCUCGUUGCGGAAGCUUUAAUAAAACAGUCUAAGUGAUCAUGCGUUUAGAAACUAUUUUAAUUUUUUGAAAACUGAAUUUCCUACGACCAACAGGUAUAAAUCCAUAAAGUAAAAUAAAUAAAUAAAAACCCAAAAUUUAAAACCAAAGUCCCAGAAGGUCCUUAAAUUACAACCCAAAUAAUCAAUAAUAAUUAAAUCAUAAAACGUAAAUUGAAAACCAUGAAGUCCAAAAAUUACUGUGGUCACCGCUGAGUCCUCCGUCGCACCGAUUCGUCUAAGUCUGGGGAUUACCUGUGCACGUUAAACAAAAAGGGUGAGUUUACGUAAAUUCAGUGUGUAGUCCCGCAGAAACAAAUAAACAAUCAGUAUUCACAGUGCACAGUUGAACAGUCUUGGGCCCAAGCCCAUCUCAGUACAAUGUCAAAAAUGCAGUAGCAGAAUCCUACCCAACCAACCUCCACACACUAUCUCCGCCCAACCCUACACUCCAUGUGGGGAUAUAAUCAACCCACCCAUCCCUACACUCCAAGUAGUACCGAAUGCGGCACAAAACAGUAGUUUGCAGCUGAGCUGCCAGUAAAUUAGGCUUAAAGCCUUUCAGUACACUUCCUCUGAAUAACAACCCCCAACCCGAUGCAAUGCAACAUACAAUAGAUGAUAUGCUAUUAUGCAAUUUCUGUACAUAUAUUUGGUUCAGAUAUUAACAUGCCCAGUAUAGAUAUCAUUCAGUCAAUUUCACACAUUUAGGGGUCUAAGUAGCGCUUACCGACCUUACAGUAGGUUCACAGUUGACUUGGGUGACCCGUACAACCUUAGAAACAUUCCGGUAAAAUUGGGCUACAUGCCCGUGUGUGCCCGUGUGGCCCACUCGGCCCAAUUUGGCCUUGGUCGUGUGAUCCAUUUUUAAUGUAACCCAUGCUAGCUAAAUAUUCAUAUAUGUUUUCACUAUUUACUUAUAUGUUCAUUUAAAGUUGUCUACUUGAGUCAUUGUCACUAAAUUAUUUAUACCUUGAGCUACAGAAUUCCAAAUUAAGAUCCGCUUGAUGUUUUCAAAACUAUACUCAAAUACCUUUCUACCAUAAAAUUUUCAAAUUUUAUAGUUUACCAAAUAAGUACAGUAAAAUCUUCAAAUUUAUCCCAAUUCUGCUAUUUGAUAGCUUCAACGUUUCCUUACUAAAAAUUAUUUAUCUCUUAGUACGGAAUUCGGAUGAUGUUUCCUUUGUUUCUCUUGAAAAUAGACUCGUUAAGGAUUUAAACAUAUAAAUUUAAGCCCCUAAUUAUUUUUUAAAAUUUUCGAUGAUUUUUCCAAAAUCAGAACAAGGAACCAAAACCCAUUCUAACAUUGUCUCACAAAAUUCAUUAUAUCUCAUAACUUAAAAUUUCAUUGCUUACACAGUUUCCUUCAUGAAAAACUAGACUCAAUAAAAUUUAAUAUCAUAUUUUAUUCAACCUCUAACUCAAUUUCCCCUAUUUUUGAUGAUUUUUCAAAGUUAGACUACUACUGCUGUCCAAAACUAUUUUAAUGCAGAAUGUUGAUUUCCAAGUUUAAAACACCCUUAUUUCCUUUCUCUACAAUUUUUUGCAUCAUUUUCUCUUAUUUCUCGUAUUUCUCGAUAGCAAGCAAUUUCAGCUUUUCGUUGAAUCCCAUUUUCUGCAUUUUGGGUACACACCUGGUAUCGUUUCUGAUGCGUAAGCACUCUUAAGCCUCCAGAACCUAAAAAUCGACCAAUAAAUCUCCAAAUUAAUCACUUAAUUCAUUUUUAAUCAACCAAUUUUGGAAGGAACUCGACUAAAAAAACCUAACAAAACCCUUACCUUGCUUCAGUAACCACGACUUCGCACAAUCAUAGUGUCGAUUCAAAACCACCAACCCCUUGAUUAACUCAUAAACACCAAAAAAGAAACCCCUUUUCAGAGAUUAACCAAGAACGAUUAACAAUAGAAAAAACUGUUACUUACCGAACACACGCAACCAACGAUGAACAACCAAAUCAAUUGGAAAAUAAUGAAAGAAAAGGAAGAGAAAAAAAUAAUGGAAAUUUCGGCAGCAACUAGGGGAAAGAAUCGGUAGAGGAGAGAAAAAAGAAGAAAAAAUCAGAAAAAGUUUGGGUAAUUGGAGAGAAAACCAAAACUCUACUUUUUUUUCUACAACAAAAAGAUAAUCAGAUUAUUUUCUGAUAACCUCUCCCCCAUUAUCUCCUAAAAUCACUCCUUAUUAACCCACUAAAACACAACUACUCAGAAUUUUACCCCAACACAACUCUUAGCCAAAAUUGGAGCAAAAAUACUGUCUCUACGCCAUCAUAGAGAAUUGAACAUAAGACCUCCUUCACACCAACACUCCAUUUAUCCACCAGACCAGCAAGCCCAUUCUGUUAAUUAUUUGUCAUCUUUUACUUAAAAGCCUACUGACCAAAGAUAGGGCUUAUUCAUAAAAAUACCAAAAUUUUCCCAAAACCUGGCUUGAACUUGGGACCUCUCACACACCCAAAACACUUAACCACUAAAGCAGAUACACAAUUGUGUCACACCUUCGUAAGAACAAAAAUAAAAAUUUUGGGACGUUACGUUACUAUACAAAAUAGAACAUUUCAUGACAACACAUAAAUAAUUAUGCAAAUUAUCACAAUCAUUAAUUAACCAUAUUAAAAUAUAACAUAAAUAUCCAUACGACCUUUAAAUCGAGCUUAUAUGUCCCUAAAAAUAGCUUGAGAUCAAUCUAGGAUCAAUUUUGAACAAAAACAUAAAUUUUAAAAAAACCCUAAAAAUUUUGGAAAACAUGGGUCACACAGCCGUGUGUCCAGGCCAUGUGACAUAGCCCAGACCUUGUGGGCAUUCAAAAUCAGGUAACGCAGUCAUGUCCCAGCCCGUAUGUCUACUUGUGUGAAUAUUCGAAAUAGGGUCUCACGGUCGUGUCGAGGAUCGUAUGCUAAACCGUGUGUAUAUUCAAAUUAUGGACACACGGCCGUGUCGCAGGCCAUGUGCUAGACCUUGCUCAAAACUAUUUUGAGACACACAGCUGUGUCUUAGACUGUGUGAAAUUUUCACUUUAAACAACAACACACAGCCGUAUCCUAAGCCGUGUGCACCAAAAUGUACCUUAAAAAUCAAAUUUACCAAAACAUGUUUACUUAGGCAUCAAGCAACCUAAUUACCAUCAAUUAAACUCAUUCAAAACACGAUUAAACAUGUUCAAAAUAUCCAUCCUAAGUUCCUAACCAUUGUGCCCUCAUUGACACCAUAAUUCAAUAAUCAAAUCAAUCACAUUUAAACCAAGAUUUAAACAUUCAAAUUAUAAAAUCACCAUUAACCAUUCAUACCAAAACACUACUCAUUUCAAGUCAUAAACACCUAGCAAUAUUCACAUACUUUAUAAAGCUUAACUACCAAUACCAAAUAAGAUCCAUACACACAUACAUACCAAACAAAACACAUAUUCACAAGUAUCAUUCAAGGUUUACAACUUUACAUGUAAUUAACAUGAUUUCAAGUCACUUAUUACAUGUCAUAUAACCCAAAACAAACAUUAAACAAACUACCAAUAGUUUCUCGAAUAGUUGAUUCUUGAUCUUGAUCUAUAAUAUAAUUUAUUUCAAUUAUUAGCCUCAAUUUUCAUAUUCUAAUCAUUUCAAUACAUAUGAUCUCUUGUUUACAAAUUUACAUAAUUACCCUAAAUUUUUACACAUUAUUCAAUUUAAUCCCUAUGACCAAAUCAAGCUUAGUUCUACAAUUAAAUUCUCAAUCCAUAGAACUAAAUUUUAACCACAUCCAAAACAAUUCAUAUAUGCUAAAAUUUUCAAGAGUAACAUGUCUAUUUCAAUUAAAUCACUAAACAUCAAAAUUUGUAAAAAUCACUUUACAAACUCAAUACAUAUCAUCACCAAGCUUCAACCCAAACUAUUUAAUAUUACAAAUCUUCAAAAUUUUCAAUACAUAAUUUCUAUACUUUGAUAACUUCACAAAUAAACUCCAAAACUAGCUAAAUUCCAUUAUCAAUAGCUCAAAACUUAAAUUUUAUGAUAAAUAAACCAAGAAAAUACUUACAUGCAUUAAAAACUAUCAAAAACCAAGCUCCCAAGCCUUAGAACAAAGGUGUUUCGGCCAAACCUAAGAAAAAUAAAGAAGAUGACCACUACCCCACUUUUGUUUUACUUUCUUUUUAUUAUUAUUAUAAUGUUUAUUUAUGAAAUUAUAACAUUAUCAAACACCAAUUUGAUAUUGUUUUUCUCUCUUUACCGCCCAUAUUAACUAACUAUGGGCUAAUGGCAACAUAACCCCCCUUAGUUUACUAAUUUAAGCUGUUAUAUUAAAAUAAAUCAAUAAUAAGCAACUUUUCCACCUAUUACAAAUUAAUCCUUUUUCUUUAAUCAAUUCACUAUACGUUAAAUUUUCUAAACCAAAACUUAAUAUAACACUGAUGACUUUGUAAAUAUUAAAUAAUUAAUAAUUUUAGAUUGACACGUCGAAAUUGUGGUCCUAAAAUCAUUAUUUUCAACACCACUAGAAAUCGGACUGUUAUAGUAUGGUUCUACCUCUUAGGGGGAGAUGUAUUCUAGUUUCCUUUCACUUGUUUAGAUGAUGUGUUAAUCAUUUGCUAUUGGUUUUGUCAAAAUGCCAAAUGGUGAGAUUGUUUGAACUUUGACUUCUUUUCUUAUUUCACUUCAUGUUCGAAGAGUAGAUUAAACCAUGCUUUGAUGCAUUCAAAGAAUUUAUGUUGGUAUAUUUGAUUUUAUAAUGAAAUGGCUUAUAGUUUAAUCUCGUUGAGUAGCAAAUGGGGAAGUGAUUUUGUAUUAUAACAUGUGAUGAUCAUUAUCUUUCAAUCAACUACCUUGGAAAAGAACGAGAGGAGUUUGAACUUUUGGGGACUUUCGUAAUAUUUGAAGCUGCUGAGAUAUUUGUUUAUAAAGACUUUUAUUUAUCAUUAAUCAAAAUAAUUCAUGAGAUAAUUUCAACCUUUAUAUUGGAGUUCUAAACUUAUGAAGACUCUAUUAUUGGCCUAUAAAUAGGCAUAAUUACCGCACAUUGAAAAUAGGCUUUUGGAGGGUUUGGAUACUUUGGUGAAUUUUUCAUUGGGCUAUAAAUAGGCAUAAUUACCGCACAUUGAAAAUAGGCUUUUGGAGGGUUUAAGUUGGAUACUUCAGUAAAUUUUUCUUGUGUUUUAUACCACACUCUUUUUAAGUUUUAUUGGAGAUAUUUAUUUGAUUGUAAGUGAGGUAUUUUGGAGAGAAUGAUUUAUAAUAAUUUAGGUUCAAUAUUAAAGUUGCAAAUAAUUACGGGUAAAAGUAAUUUGGACUGUAGUCAAUAGUUGAUCAAGACGAAUUGUAAAUUAAAAUUAUUUUCUAAGUAAAAUUCUACAAAAUAAAACUGGUAAAUUCAAACUGCGUUAAUAAAUAUUACAUAUUAUCUUUCCUUACUUUACUCGUUGCUUUACCUUAUUUUAAAAUUGUUUUGUUAUAAUCUAUUAUGUUUGAACCUUUUCGAUCGAAAUAAAAAAAAUGAGAUUGAAAUUGUGAUAAAGCUAAAAAAAGGUUACAACAAAUAUGAUUAAUAUUAUUUUUUAUAUAUACUUAAUAAAAGUUAAAAAGGGAAUUCCAUUUAUUGAAUAUUAUUUUAUUUAAUAAAAUAUAUUUUAUAUAUUUUAUAUAAAAUUUAAACAUUUUAUUGUUUGUUAGUUAAAUUUUAUUAUUUUUAUUUUCUUUAUGAAUAAAAAUAAUUUUCCUAAAAUAUGAGAUAAAAAAUGUUAUAGAGAAUUAAAUUAAUAAAAAGUACAGUUCAUACUUUAUAAUUAUUAUAAAUGAAAAAAUAUUAUGAAAAAAUAUUAAACAUAAAAAAUUAAUUCUAAAAUAAACUUAACUAUAAUAAAAUAAUUUUAUAUAAAAAAAGAAAUUAUAGAAAAGACUUAUUGAAUAUAUUUCCAAUUUUCGACAUUCAUAAAACAAAAAAUAAAAAAAGUGGUUCUAAUAAUUUAUUUAUACAAAAAAAAAAAAGUGGUCCUGACGUUCAUCCUUUCCCAUCUCUAUAAAUUUGCAUGCAGAACUAAAGCAACACAUAUCAACACAAUCUGUAUAACCAUGAAAACCACAACAGCUUCGGUGUUUCUUCUUUUCAUCAUCUUCUCAAUCACACCAUCGUCCUUUUCGUUUGGUGUGGCCAACUCUACAAACGCUCCUGUGCUCGACAGUGAUGGCAACGAGCUCCGCACGGGCACCCCAUACUUCGUUGUGUCGUCGAUAUGGGGUGCUGGUGGUGGGGGGCUUGCCCUAGGCAUGCCUAGCGGAAACCCAUGCCCGGAAGUCGUUGCUCAAAGAGGAUCCGGUGACGAUGGUAUUCCGGUGAUAUUUUCUAAUUCGGACUCCAACGAUGGCGUUGUUCGCCUAUCCUCUGACAUAAACAUAGAGUUCAUUCCCCUCAGACCCAAACUUUGCCGAACAACAACGGUGUGGAAGGUCGAUGAUUACGACCACUCAGCCGGAAAAUGGUGGGUGAUAACCGAUGGGGUUAAAGGGAACCCGGGUGCCAACACUUUGACCAGUUGGUUUAGAAUAGAGAAGUUGGGUGAUCUUGAUUACACAUUUAAGUACUGCCCCGCAGUAUGUGGAACAUGCCCAGCUUUAUGCAACGAAAUUGUGAGAGACUCAGAUGGAGAAAUGAUACGUUUGGCUCUCUCCAAUGGCCAUGGAUGGCAAUUUUACUUUAAGAAAGUUGAAACAUCAGCCAUGGAGAUUCAACAAGUUCAUAAUUAGAUUGAAAGCAAUCAUUAUGCAUGAACUAGUAGUUACUAUACAUUAUUACCUUCAAGUAAAUAAUGCCGAGAGAACUGAUUGUUAAUUAAGAUUGCCUUGUUUGAAGCAGCAGCAUGAAUAUAUAUAUAUGCUUGCUUACAAGGUUUGUCUCUCAGAGUCCUUCUCUUUGUACUCUUUCCAGCUUAAUGUAUAAACUGUCUACUUAUUUACUUCUUUUAUCGCCAUUGAUUCUAGUAGUAUUAGACUCAUUAACUUGGAUACAUUGUCUUGUAAUUAACCCAAAAAUUAUAUAUAUAUAAAAAAAGAGUGAGAGAGGAAAAUAGACUACCAAGUAACAAGCGAAAAACGGUAAUACUAGGGUUAUUUAGAGUGGUUUCAAUGCACAACGGGAAUGAAUUGUCGUUGGUUGGGUGGUUAGGGCACCUUACUUAUCUUUAGAGCUAAAGAAGGUUUCGUAACUACUCUUUCAAUAAUAUUAUUUUUAAGGUUCGAACCUGCAUUAUCCUUUGAACACGUAAUAUGUUUUAUCAUUACGCUCAACAUUAUUAAUGAUUUACUUUAUUCUAUUCUUAAUUAAUAAUUAUGAUAUAUAUUAAGUUUAAGAUGAAUUUUCUUAUUCAUGUAUAUCAAUUAAAUCAAAUAUUUGUAUUUAAAGUUUUAACCCAACAUUAACUUCUUCUUUUUUUUAUUUCUUUCUUUGUUGGUGAUGAUUAGGAGAUUGAUGGCCGGUCUUUGUGGUUGGUAGCUUUUAACACAAUGGCAAAGCCAAGGAGGCUUUAAAUGUUUAAAUGGAUUUUUUUUUCAUUUAAACUUCUUUAUAAUUUAUAAAAUUUUAAAUUAAUAAUGAUAAAAUUACAUUUUAAUCUUUUAAAAAUAAUAAAAAUGUGGAAGCACAUUUGUACGAUUAAUAAUAAUGAUAAGAUUUUUCCCACCACAUGGAAAUUUAUGGAAACGUCAUUGGGUUUUGUAUUUAUGUUUUAUUUGACACUCUUUUAAGUUUUAUUGGGAAGAUUUGCUUGAUUGUAAGUGAGGUAUUUUGGAGAGAAUGAUUUGUAACAAUUUAGAUUCAAUAUUCGAGUUGCAAAUAAAUAUAGAGUAAAGUAAUUUGGGCUUAGUGAAUUAUAGAAUAAAAUCAUAUUCUAAACAAAAUUUUAUAAAAUAAAAUUAAUGAAUCCUAACUAAGUUAACAAAUAUUUCUUCACUCUAGGCAUUGCUUCACCUUAUCUCAAAAUUGUUCUGUAAUAAUCUAUUUUGUCUCGACCUUUCCAACAGAAUUUAAAAUGAAACUAUUUCUGAUAAGUGCAGGCCAAAAACUUUUUCGCGUACCAAUAAAUGGCAAGCGACCAUACUGUGGGCCCAAUGUCCCAACAAUCAUCUAAACAUUUUUUUUAAUAAUAUGUAAUAAUUUAUAUACCAUAUAUGAAUAUUAAUUAAAAUAAUAUAAUAUGGACCCAAAUUGUUUCAUAUUUGAAAUCCAAUUUUUGAUAAUUUCACAUUUCAUAUUUUAUCUUAGAACAAAAAAAAUAUAUUUGAACUUAAUAUUUGGCCUAUUAAUCAAUGGUGUUUACUAUAUUUUAAGACUAUCGAAUUAAUCUAUCGACACUACUUGUAUGGUAUAAUUUAAAUGGGUGUGUGUGGGUAUAUAAAUUUGAAAUUCUAUUGUAUCAAAGAAAAAUUUAGAAAAAAAUAAAAAAAAAAAAGAAUUUGCAAUUUAUAAUUUGAGAUAAAAAUAAAAAAAUGAGAUUUGUGAUAAACCAUAAAUUAAGCUCAAAAAAAGUUACAACAAAUAUGGUUAAUGUUAUUUAUAUAUAUACUUAAUAAAAGUAAAAAUAUCGAAAUUCCAAUAUUAUUUUUAUUUAAUAAAAUAUAAUUAAUAUAUUUUAUAUAAAAUUUAAAUAUUUUAUUGAAAUAUUAUGUUAGGUAAAUUUAUAAAUAAAAUUAAUUUUACUAAAAUUUGAGAUAAGAGAAUUAAAUUAAUAAAAGGCAUAUUUCAUAUUUUAUAGUUAUUAUUAAUAAAAAAUUAUUAUAAAAAUAAAAAAUCAAUUCUACAACAUAAUGAAAUAUUUUUAUUAAAAAAACCAGAAAUGAUUGAUGGAAUAUAUUUCCAAUUUUCGACGUUCAUAAAAAAAAAAAGAGUGGUCCUAAUAAUUUAUUUAUUGGGAAAAAAAAAGUGGUCCUAUUAAUUUACCUCACAUUUGAAAUGUGUUAUAUGUAAUAAUAAUAAUAUCUAUAUAAAUUUUGGACGUUGAUCCUUUCCCAUCUCUAUAAAUUCGCAUGGAGAACUAAAGCAACACAUAUCAACACAAUUUAUAUAACCAUGAAAACCACAACAGCUUCGGUGUUUCUUCUUUUCAUCAUCUUCUCAGUCGCACUAUCGUCCUUUUUGUUUGGUGUAGCCAACGCUACAAACGACCCUGUGCUCGACAUUGAUGGCAACGAGGUUCAAACUGGCACCCCAUACUACGUUGUGUCGUCGAUAUGGGGUGCUGGUGGUGGGGGGCUUGCCCUAGGUAGGCCUAGAGGAAAGCCAUGCCCGGAAGUCGUUACUCAAAGACGAUCCGGUGACGAUGGUAUUCCGGUGAUAUUUUCUAAUUCGGACUCCAACGAUGGCAUUGUUCGCCUAUCCUCUGACAUAAACAUAGAGUUCAUUCCCCUCAGACCCAAACUUUGCCGAACAACAACGGUGUGGAAGGUCGAUGAUUACGACCAUUCAGCCGGAAAAUGGUGGGUGAUAACCGAUGGAGUUAAAGGGAACCCGGGUGCCAACACUUUGACCAGUUGGUUUAGAAUAGAGAAGGUGGGUGAUUUAAGUUACAAAUUUAAGUACUGCCCCACAGUAUGUGGAACAUGCCCAGCUUUAUGCAACGAAGUUGGGAAAGACUCAGAUGGAGAAAUGGUACGUUUUGCUCUCUCCACUGGCCCUGGAUGGUCAUUUUACUUUAAGAAAGUUGAAAAAUCAGCCAUGGAGAUUGAACAAGUUGUUCAUAUUUAGAUUGAAAGCAAUCAUUCUGCAUGAACUAGUAGUUAUUAUAUAAUAUUAGCUUCAAGUAAAUAAUGCUGAGAGAACUGAUUGUUAAGAUUGCCUUGUUUGAAGCAGCAGCAUGUAUAUAUAUAUAUGCUUGCUUACAAGGUUUGUCUCUCAGAGUCCUUCUCUUUGUACUCUUUUCAGCUUAAU